AGAGUUUGAUCCUGGCUCAGGACGAACGCUGGCGGCGUGCCUAAUACAUGCAAGUAGAACGCUGAAGAGAGGAGCUUGCUCUUCUUGGAUGAGUUGCGAACGGGUGAGUAACGCGUAGGUAACCUGCCUUGUAGCGGGGGAUAACUAUUGGAAACGAUAGCUAAUACCGCAUAACAAUGGAUGACACAUGUCAUKUAUUUGAAAGGGGCAAUUGCUCCACUACAAGAUGGACCUGCGUUGUAUUAGCUAGUAGGUGAGGUAAUGGCUCACCUAGGCGACGAUACAUAGCCGACCUGAGAGGGUGAUCGGCCACACUGGGACUGAGACACGGCCCAGACUCCUACGGGAGGCAGCAGUAGGGAAUCUUCGGCAAUGGGGGCAACCCUGACCGAGCAACGCCGCGUGAGUGAAGAAGGUUUUCGGAUCGUAAAGCUCUGUUGUAAGUCAAGAACGGGUGUGAGAGUGGAAAGUUCACACUGUGACGGUAGCUUACCAGAAAGGGACGGCUAACUACGUGCCAGCAGCCGCGGUAAU
This 534-nucleotide ribosomal RNA is filed under the name uncultured Streptococcus sp. RNAcentral's name for it is "bacterial SSU rRNA". It matches the Rfam family "Bacterial small subunit ribosomal RNA", at positions 8 to 524 of the family's 1533-position model. The record is from RNAcentral. Lineage: Bacteria; Bacillati; Bacillota; Bacilli; Lactobacillales; Streptococcaceae.